This 505-nucleotide ribosomal RNA is filed under the name uncultured bacterium. RNAcentral describes it as "partial 16S ribosomal RNA". It matches the Rfam family "Bacterial small subunit ribosomal RNA", at positions 28 to 507 of the family's 1533-position model. The record is from RNAcentral.
GACGAACGCUGGCGGCGUGCCUAAUACAUGCAAGUAGAACGCACAGUUUAUACCGUAGCUUGCUACACCAUAGACUGUGAGUUGCGAACGGGUGAGUAACGCGUAGGUAACCUGCCUGGUAGCGGGGGAUAACUAUUGGAAACGAUAGCUAAUACCGCAUAAUAUUGAUUAUUGCAUGAUAAUUGAUUGAAAGAUGCUAUUGCAUCACUACCAGAUGGACCUGCGUUGUAUUAGCUAGUAGGUGAGGUAACGGCUCACCUAGGCGACGAUACAUAGCCGACCUGAGAGGGUGAUCGGCCACACUGGGACUGAGACACGGCCCAGACUCCUACGGGAGGCAGCAGUAGGGAAUCUUCGGCAAGGGACGAAAGUCUGACCGAGCAACGCCGCGUGAGUGAAGAAGGGUUUCGGAUCGUAAAGCUCUGUUGUAAGAGAAGAACGGGUGUGAGAGUGGAAAGUUCACACUGUGACGGUAUCUUACCAGAAAGGGACGGCUAACUACGUG